Molecule: long non-coding RNA, 19499 nt
Organism: Cavia porcellus (domestic guinea pig)
Lineage: Eukaryota; Metazoa; Chordata; Mammalia; Rodentia; Caviidae
Exons: 2
Source: RefSeq, a predicted model, not a curated record
GGCCGACGUCGGGCCCCGCCCUCCCGUCCAGCCUGCGCGCUGUUGCACCUGCGCAUCCGCGCCCAGCCUUCGGCGCUGCGGCGAGCCUGCCCUCCAUUGGCUGUCGCGACCGGCCUGGGGCGGAGUCUUGACAGUGGCGCCCUCCAUUGGAGACAGUUCUUGUCUGUUUGGGCGAGGGAAAAGGGGGCGAACUCCUAUCCGGUUACUGAUUGGUUGCCGUCGGCCGUCUUUUGGGGACUAGAGGCCGUUUCUGCACUGAGAAGUUGUUUUAGUGGGUGGAAUUUGAAUGUUAAGAAUUAAUGGGCCAUCGCGGCUAGUGGGGAACACCGAGGCUUCAGCUCAGGACGGUUAUGUGCGCUGCCUGCUGGAGGCCGGCCUACCGUCCAGGAACGCACCCAGUACGCUGCCACACGCGUCGCGCUGCCUGUGUGUUUUGUCACCAUCACCACCUUUGGUGGUAGCAGCGAAGCCUCAUGCUCUGGAGCCCAACGCGUUCUAGCCAGGGACUCGGUUUAAGAGGCACGGUGGUAGCAUCUUUUAUGCGAAUCUGCCAGGCGCUACACUCCCCCGGGGCAGGAACAAACUGCCCUUGCAGAACUCGGGCGUGGGAAGCGGGUGCGACCUGUCACCUCGAGCAGGUGGCUCAGCGGAGGUGUGCGGAUGGGCAGGGAGAUUGCGGAGGACUCGGGCCUCCUCACGGCUUGCGAGACACAGUUUGGGAGCCGAUACCCAGCAGGUCAACUUCUGGAAGGGAUGACUUGGAGCUGGUGUCCAGCUGUUCUUUUUAGGAAAAUCCUGAGAGCAAGAGAAGAGUUUGGGCCACUAGGAAUGCGUGUUAAGGCGACCUCCCUGCUACCAGUAAGCACCCUAUGCACCCAGGGUCUCUUGUGCCUAUGGUAUUCUUAACAAGGAACUUUCCGGGUUGGCGUGGGCAUCCCGUUCUUUUAUUGAACACCUGCAUGUGUCAGGCGCUGAUCCAGGCCCGGAGUUGCCAGUUUUUGCGGGACGAUUCCUGCUGAACAUCCGGAUACAUACAGCGUGACUGAUACGCAGCAGAGGACUCUGGAUACCCACUGCCUUUGCCUUCCUGGGAAGAACAUUUUGGGCGUGUUCAAGGUCCUGAGGAGAGACUGUGCCUGACAGGUUGGGGACCAAUAAGGAGGCACUGUGGCUGGAAGAUCAUAGGGGAUGUGGCUUGGAGAGGCCGCCUGGGCGCUCUUCCCACCCCGGUGGUGUUUUCCUGUCAUCCAGAAUAAGAAGGUGAGAGUGAGAGCCAAAAGAAGAGAAGAGAGGGGAGGGGAGGGGAGGGGAGGAGGAGAAGGAGUAUGAUGAAGUCCGUGGAGAGCUAGAGCUCCAGCAUGGACACUGACUGGCCCUGAACAGUUUCUCCUUCAUCCUAGCCUGUGGGGGCCUGAUCCACACUCUACAGCCCCUGUUUAGCACACAGGACAGCCAUGGCAGGGAGACAGCCCCAUCCACCCAACAGCACGUGAAAUCAAUCCACAAUAGCUUUCUAGCCUAUUAGUGGUUUUUGGGUUUUUUUGGUUUUUUUGGUUUUUUUAGACCGCGUCUCACUACGCAGUUCAGGCUGGCCUUGAGCUCACUUGGUAACCCAGGCUGCUCUCGAACUCACAACACCCAGCUCCAGUCAUUCUUUAUUGGAUACAAGCCCACCCAUGAGGAUCAUCAGAAGUGGAAUGAAAGCCGGAUAUGGUGGUGCACCCCUGUAAUCCCAGCACUCGGGAGGCUGAGGCAGGAGGAUCAUUGCAAGUUGAGACCAGCCUGGGCUACAAAGUGAGCCCAGGGUCAGCCUGAACUGCAUAAUGAGACCUUGUCUCAAAAAGACAAAAAAAAAAAAAAUAGAAAGAAAGAAAGAAAACAAAUAGGAAGAAAGCCUUCAGCUUGAAAAACAGACAAGGCAGGGUGGCACACACCAGGAGGAUCUUGAGCUGAAGGCCAGUCUGGGCUACAGAGAGAAAACCCUGUGUCAAAAGAAGCCAAAAAGGAAGAAUUCUGUGUCUGUUUUGAAUGAGUGUCUUGGGUCAGCUCUGCCUUGCUAUCAGCCCACUUUCUGGCUGCUGGGACACAGUUGCCUACACCACACCUUACGCAGGAGGACUUUACUGAGCCCAUGGUUCCGGAGGAUUCAAUUCAUGGUCCCUCCAAGGCAGGAACAGAAUGGUACGAGGGCAUGAGGAGCAAGGCUGCUUGACAGUGCCAGAGGGAGAGGGACCAGAGACCAGACAUAGUCCUCAAGGCCAUCCCUCUACAAACCACCCAGCAAGUGCAGUGCACCACUGCAUGCAGGCCGAUGCCUAGCACCCUAAGGCUCACAGCCUUCUCUCACAAGUAUCUCCCCCCAGGCAGCGGCUUCUGCUUCCCUUCUCCCAAAUGCAUCUUCUGAAGAUCACAUUGAAGAUUUCAUUGAAGUCCAAGUUAUGGGUUUUUUUCAUGGAUCAUGCUUUUGGCAUUGUAGCUACAAAGCCCUUUAUUUGUACUCUUUACUUAUUUGUACUCUUGUCCUUGACAUUGAGGCCUGUGACCCUUUCUGGGUUCAUUUCCAUGAUGGUUGUGAGGUCUGCAUAUAGAUUCACUUUUCUGUGGGUUGAUGUUCAACUAUUCCCUUGUCACCUGUUGAAAAGAAUGUUUUUCUCCAUUGUGUCACUUUUGCCUAAAGAUCAGCAGACUGUAUUAUGUGGUCUAUUCCAAGAUGACUCUGUUUUCUUGAUCAAUUUGCCUUUGCUUUUUCUUUUUCCUUUCUUGCAGUUCCAGGGAUCAAAUCAAAGGCCCCUCAGGCAAACACUCCAGCCCUGAGUUACUCCCAGCCCUUAGCAUUUUCUUCAGGUAGUACUGUUACGGAAAAUGGACCAAACGCAGGAAGAAACAGCACACACCGGUGGGCUUGACUGGGAUCUCUCCCAAAGACCCCCGGUGGGGUUUCAGGGCUUUUAUAGGGAGAGCAAGCUGGAGGUACAAUGGUAGAUUUAGUGCAUUUUGAUUGGAGGGUCAGAUGACAUCACAGGUUGCUGAAGGAGUUUAAACAUCUCAGAUUACUUUGCAAGGCCAUCGGUUACACAAGUUUGGGUUACACAAAGGAAGGGAUGUUCUGUUAUCAGGUUUGUCUGGACACGGACAUGUCUGCCUGGUCUUGGCAGGCUUUGAUUUAAACUUUUAAUUUUCCUUUUACUACACAUGGUUUUGAAGUUGGAUUGAGUUGCUCCUGCAACUCUCUUCUAAUUCUUCAGUAUUAAGUGGAUCCUUCCACAUCUUUUUUCUCUCCCUAUAAACCUGAAGGUCAGUACAUCAGCACACAGACACUAAUUUGCUGGAUUUGGGGUAGGGAUUACAUUGAACCUACAGAUGAGCUGGGAAGAAUGGACAUGUUAGCCUCCAUGAGUCUGCCUGUCAUGGACGUGGGAUUUCUCACCAUCAAUUUAUUCUUUGAUUUAUUCCAUCAGAGUUUUGCAAUUUACCUCAUAUAAAUCUUGGGCUUAUUUUGUUGGAUUUGUAGCUAAAUAAAUCUAUUCAUUUUGGGGUGCUGUUAAUAUAAAUGUAUUGGCAGCCAGGCAUGGUGGCUCACACCUGUAGUCCCGGAAGGCUGGGGCGGGAGGAUUAUUGCGAGUUCAAGACCAGCCUGGGCUACAAAGUGAGUUCAACACUAGCCUGAACUCAUAGAGAUACACUGUCUCAAAAAGACUAUAUAUAUAUAUAUAUAUAUAUAUAUAUAUAUAUGGUAUUUUUCAUUUUAAAUUCUACUCAUUCUUUGCUGCUAUAGGGAGAAGCAAUUGACCUUUGUAUAUUAACCUUUGUAUAUUAACCUGUAUUCUGCAACCUUGCUAUGAUCAUUUAUUAGAACUAGGAGUUUUGCAGUUAAUUCUUUUCAAUUUAUGUGUAGAUGAUCAUAUCAUUUGUGGGGUUUUUUUUUUGUUGUUGUUGUUUUGUUUUUUCUUUUUGGUACCGGGAAUCAAACGCAGGCCCUUGCACUUGCCAGGCAAGUGCUUAUGCCACUGAGCUGCAUCCCAGCCAGAUCAUGUCAUUUGUGAAUGGAGACAGUCUUAUAUCUUUCUCCUCCAUCAGUAAAUCAUUUAUUUCACGAUCUAAUUUGGUUGCAUUAAGAGGACUUCCAGUUUGAAGAAGAGCCAUCUUUGCCUGGCUCCUGAGUUUGGUGGGAGAGCUUCGCAUUUUCCCCCUCAGGGGUGCUGUGCUCUCUCUCAGUGGUGGCUUCUGUAGAUAUUCUUUAUUAAGCUGAGGGCGCGCUCAUCUAUUCCAGUAUAGUCAGGGUUUUAUUUUAGUGUGCAUGGUUAUUAGGUUUUGUCAAGUGCUUUUCUGCAUAUGUAGAUAGCAGUGUGAUUUUUCUUGUCUAGCCUGUGAUCCAAUAGCCAUCAUUAAUUGACUUUCAAGUGUGGGACCUGCCUUACCUAUCUGGGGUAAAUUCUACUUGGGUGUAUAUUGACUUUCAUAGGUUGUUGGCUUUGACUUCUAACAAUUUGUUCAGGAUUUUUGCAUCUAUCUCAUGAAAUAUAUUGGUCCACCCUUGACUUUUCUGAUUUUGUAUUAAGGUGACAUCAUGCUCAUACAGUAACUUGGGGGAAAUAUUCCCUUAGCUUCUUUCUUCUGAACAAAUGUAUAGAGAAUUGGUAAAUUUUCUUCCUUAAAGUUGGUUAAAAUUCACCAAUAAACCCAUCUGGUGCUUUUAGUCUCAUUUUAUUUGUUUAAUUCUUAUUUGUUUGUUUUCUUGAGACAAGGUCUCUCUACAUAAAUUCGUGGUGAUUCUCCUGCCUCGGCCUCCCUAGUGCUAAGUGACAGGUGUGCACCACCAUGCCCAGCUGAUGCUUUUUGUUUUAGAAGGUUCUUAAUUAUUGAUUCAAAUUUUUUGAGACACAGUUUCACUAAAUUGGCCAGGCUGGCCUCAAACUUGUGAUCCUUUUGCCUCAGCCUACCAAGUAGCUGGGAUGACAGCCACGUGGCAUCCUGACUGCUGAUUCCAUUUACUUAUAGGCUCAGUCGGUUGUCUCUUCCUGUGUGGGUUGCGGCAGGUGGGCUCUGUCUCAGCGAGGUUAGCAGAUUGCCGCGCGCGUGCUGCCCUUUGUCCUCCUCAUCGCCAGGAGACUCCUUAGGUGCCUUUCCCUUCACUUCUGAUAUUAAAUCGGGUCCUUUUUCUCUUAGGUGCUGAGGGGCUGAUUAAUGUCAGUUAUAUCAGGAUCAGCUUUUGGGGUCAUUGAUUUUUUUCCUAUUGAUCUCCUAUUUUCAAUUUCAUGAAUUUCUGCUCUACUUUUUCUUGUUUCUUUUCAUGUUUCUUAUGGAUUUAAUUGGCUCUUUUUGUUUCUAGUUUCCUAUGGUGGAUGCUUAGAUUAUUUUACAUUAUUCACUUUAGAUCUCUUUCUUUUCUAAACAUACACUCUUGAUACUGUAAAUUUCCUUUAAACUGCAUCCCAAAAGUUCUACCAAGUUGUAUUUUCAUUUUCAGUUUGAUUUUUCAACCAGGGAUUGAACCCAGGGUUCAAUGAGCUACACUGCGGUACAUCCCUACUCCACUGAUUUGUUCAUUAAUUAAUUUUUUUGAGAAAGGGUCUGUCUGUAUAGUUCAGGCUGGCCUUGAACUCACUUUGUAGCCCAGGCUGGCCCCGAACUUGCUGCAAUCCUCCUGCCUCAGCCUCCUGACUGGUGAGAUGACAGGCGUUCAUCCGCUUUAUUUUAUGCCUUCUUUUGGGAUAGGAUCUCACUAAACCAUUAAGUUCCCCCAUCCUCCUGCCUCAGACUCCUGGAGAGGUGGGAUUACAGUUGUGCCUGACCACACCCAGCUACUUGAAAAUACUUUAAAAUUUCUUUUGAGAUCACUUUGGUGAUCCAAGUAUUAUUGAGAACAUGUUCUAAUUAUUGAGAACUCUGUGUAUUUUGGGACUUUCCAGUUAUCAUUUUGUUGUUGAUUCCUAGUUUAUUUCCUUCGUGGACUGAGAGCUACAGUCUGAACCUGUUCUUGGAAAUGUGUGAGCUUGUUUGGUGCCAGGACCCUGGCAUUCUUGGUGGCUGCUCUCCGGGAGUCUGAGGACUGUGUAGGUGGCCGACGCCAGUGAGAUCCAGUACACUGACAUUCAGCCAAGUCCUUCCUGAUCUUUCGCUCUCUCUCUCUCUCUCUCUCUCUCUCUCUCUCUCUCUCUCUCUCUCUCUCUUUCUCUCUCUCUCUCUCUUCUCUUUUUUGGUACCAGAAGCGAACUCCGGACCUUGCACUUGCCAUCCCUAGCCGGGGUUUUGUCUGGACCCACUCUGAUGAGCUGUUUGUGGUACCUUUUGAUUGUGGCGUGUCCCCUGCCAGGGACACCUGUGCUGUCACUGUCACUGGUGAAUGUAGACUAUUGGCCUGUACAGUGAUCACUGUUGGCAGUUGGAUUACUAUCUACCAUGUGUCACACUGUUUUCUAUCUGUUCCUACCUGAUUUGUGCCUUCCAUAUUUUCCAUCUUUUGUUGUUUUAAUAGAACAUUCUGUAUGAUUCCCGUUUUCUCCUUUCUUAGCAUAUCAGGUAAAUUUGUAAAAUUUUAUUUAUUUGUUUAUUUUUGCAAUAUUGGGGAUUGAACCCAGGUGGGCCUUCACACUGAGCCAUACCCUCAACCCAUUUUUACUUUUUUAUUUUGAGAUAGAGUCUCCCUAACAUGCUAAGUUGUCCAGACUUGGCUCAAACUUGAAAUCUUCCUGCCUCAGCCUCCCAGGGUAGAAUUCCACGUGUGCACCCACCAUGUCUGGCUAAGAAUUUUUAAGAACUUUUCUUGCAAGACAGGUCUAUGGCAACAAAUUCCCUCAAUACUUGCUUGUUGACUUUUUUCUCCUUCCCUUUUGAAAGAUAACUGUGUGGGAUAAAACAUUUUAGGAUGGUGGGAUUUUUUUCUCUUCAAACUUUAAUUUUUGCCUCCACUCUCUUCUUGCUUAUACUGUUUUGUGCCCGGGACUGAUCCCAGAGGUACUCCACCAGCACUUUACACCUCUAUCACUUUAAAUUAGUUUGUUUCUUUUUAACUUUGAGGUAGUACUUAGCUAUAUAGCCCAGGGUGGUCUUAAAUUCGCAAUCCGCCUGCCUCAGUCUCCCAAAUAGCUAGGAUUGCAGGUGUUCAUGAGCACUCUCAGUGCUUGAAAAAACAUGUGAUUAUUUAAAAACACAUUCCUUGCUGGGCAUGGUGGCACACUCCUGUAAUCCCAGCACUCGGGAGGCUGAGGCAAAAGGAUCAUUGCAAGUUCAAGACCAGCCUGGGCUACAAAGUGAGCUAAAGGCCAGCCCAAACUGCAUAGCAAGAAUCCCAUCUCAGAAAGACACACACACACAACACAACACACAAACCAGAUUCUUUUCCCCCCUCCUGCUGCUGUAAGAACAGGAGAGUUUUCCUGGUGGUGAAUGUCUGGUUGAGCUCCUAGAAGCGGAGGCAUCCCCAGUGACCAGUCACUUUUUAACUCACCCACACUAGUUUUGUUUUGUUUUUUGAGGCAGGGUCUCGCUAUGUAGCCCAGGCUGGCCUUGUAUUUGCGGUGAUGCUCCUGCUUCAGCCUUCAGAGUGCUGGGAUCACAGGACGCCAGCACACUUGGCUUGGUGUAGAGUCUUUGACAUAGGUUCUAGGUUGUCUCUUUCCGGGUCACCCCUGGUUGCAAAAAUGGAUACUAUUCCAGUGAACAAGGCAAUGGAGGUACACCUUACCUGCCUGUACCCCACGGGCCGUCCACAAGCCAAGGGCCCCUGCUGUGCCCUCCACUUGUCUGGAGCCUCCAGAGACCUGUGGGCUUGCCACAGCCCCCUUUGGUUCCGGGAACACUGGAUUGGUGGAAAGGGCAACAUAACAUGUUAAGGUUUCCCGAGGCGGGCAUUCACAGGGGCCCUUCCCAAGGCCACUGGGUCACCAAGCUCAGCACCACUAGGAGGCAAGGCCUGGACGGACAAGACAGCUGGGGGCGUGGCCUGCAGGAUGCCUCUGCCUCCCGGCUCCUCCCUCACUGUUAGGAGGCGGGGCCUGGGUGGAAGAGGCGGGGCCUGCAGGGUGAGUCUCCCUUCUGACUCCUAUCUUUCCACCAUGCGCUGUGAUCGUGGAAUGACUAAGAGUUCUGAAACAGGAGCCAAAAUCACCUUCUCCUUUAAAUUGCAGUUGUCAGGUAUUGUGUCCCAGUAACGAGGAAGCAACUAAGACAAAGUGACAAAGGAGAACUCAAAGGACAAUAAGUGAUACUAAAAGAUAUAAUUUUACAGCAAUCAGGAGGCCACGUUAUCAUAAAGGGGUGACUAUACCGAGUCUUUAUGAACUGGGUGUAUUUCAUCCAACUAGAGAAAACACUACUAAUUGGAAAAUACAUGAAGAAGAGAUGGACAGAAAUAUAAGAAUUGAGCCAGGCAUGAUGGCACACACCUAUCACCCUAGCACCCAGGCUAAGGCAGGAGGAUUGCUGCAGGAUUGAGGCCAGCCUGGGCUACUAAAUGAGCUCAAGGCCACCCUGAACUGCACAGUGAGACCCUGCAUCAAAAAGACAAAAAAUAAGUAAAUAAAUAAAAAUAAAAUAAAAGAAAUCUUUGUUCCCAGCAUUCUGCACAGCGAACUCUUUGGAAGCUAGUGGGCCCCCCUUUGUUUCUGGGAUGUAGAAUGUCUCAGUGAGGGAAACUGGAAAGGGGUUAUUUUCCUCACAUGUGCAGUGGAAUUUUGACGGUGCUCCUAGGACCUCACACUGAACCACACCAGGGCCCCAGGGCCUGUGACUCCAGCAUCUCUGGGACCUGGCAUGUGGUCCCAGCAAUUCACUGCCUCAGAGAAGAAAGUUCCCAAGUUCUGCAGGACGAGAGUGACACGGUCACUGCUCAUGGUUAUGGCACACAACCAAUCUCACUAAAUUGCUCAGGCCAGGCUCAAAUUUGUGGCCCUCUUGCUUUAGUCCGGUGAGGGACCCUGAGAUGUAGCUGUGGAUACUCCACCUGCCACCUCCACCCGACUUCACCUCUCUGUGGCUGUUCAGUGUGCAGCAGCUUUAUCUACAGGGGCUGUAACUGGAAACAGCGCCAGGGUCCUUCCAAGGGCACAUUGCGGACAAAGUCCGUCUGUCCACACAGAGGAACCUGCCUGCAGAAAGGGCCACACAUACCCAAGUCAUCAAGCGGGCAAGCAAGUGGCUGGACAGAGAAGGCUGUCGGGGCGUGGAUGCCAGCAGUGUGAGGCAGCCCCCCCGGGGCAGAGGCAAGGGCGCCCAGAGCAACUCUUCAGGCCUGACCCGCCCUGCCCAGGGCUCUGGGUAGACAGUCCUGGCUCGGCCUGCAGUUCAGAUUCCGGAUCUGUGUGAAACUGGUGUUUGCACAGGUUUUGAAGCCAAGGUCUCCCCCUUUCUUCCCUGUUUUUUCUCUGUCUCUCUGUCCUUUCUUUUCUUUAUGCACUUGUCUGUCUGCCUUUCUCUCUUUCUCUCUCUCUCUCUCUCUCUCUUUCUUUCUUUCUUUCUUUCUUUCUUUCUUUCUUUCUUGCCAGCUUGGUGAUUGAACUCAAAGCCUUCACCCCUGAGGUUCCGUCCUUAGCUAUUUCUUAUUUUUAUUUUUUUAAUUUUGAGAGACAAUCUUGGUAAGUUGCUCUACAAGUCAUUUUCCCAGUGCCGGGACAAAAUCCCCAGCAGCACAAUUUAGAGGAGGAGGGAUUGUGUGGCUCAUAGCCUCAGAGAGCUCAGUCCGGGGUUAGCUGCUCAGGGUGGGAGCAGCAUGGCAGAAGGGCCGGGUUGGGGAGAGCUGCUCACCCAUGGCAGCCAGGGAGCAGAAACCAACCAGCUCCCCCCAUCAGCAGCACAUCAGCCAUGAACCCAUCCAUGGGUGAGUCCGCUGAAGUCUGUAGCAGCCUGUGACCCAGUCACCCCCCGAAGCCCUGCCGCUAGACACUGGAGUAUUUAUCAACAUUUUAAAUCCAACCCAUUGGGUUGCUAAGUUGCCUGUGCUGGGCUGGAACUUGCAAUCUUCUUGUCUCAGCUUCCCAGAGUGCUGAGAUUAUAUUUGUUUGCCACCACACCCAGCUACAGCGUCUUACUUUUUGUUAACAGUUUAUCGUCAUAUAAAUGUGGUUGCCCUGGCCCAGCUUAUGAAAAGGCUCAUCCUUCCCUCCGGUGCUGUAAAUGCCUCCUUCUGUCAUGCAGCAAGUGUCCACGCAGCAAGGGCUCAUUCGUGUGCUCUCAGUGCAGUCUCGCCAGUUCAUUUGUCCAUGCAUUCCCAAGCCACACUGCCAGAACCCACUCUCCUCCCCUGCCCAUGGUCUUCUCAUCUUGGAGUCUUGCUAUGCAGUCCAGGAUGGCCUGGAACCCACACAAUCCUUCUGCUUCGGCCUCCUAACUGCUGGGAUGACAAGUGUGCACCCCUACACCUUAUCGGCCUUUCCUUUUUGUUUUCUGUUUUGCCAACCGCACUACUCAGGCUCAACACCAAGUGUCAGAUGAACUGGGGAUGGCGGUAGGCCUCCUUUCCUCUUCUGCGCUCUGAAGGGGUGCAGGGGACAUCGGGACUAUUUCCGCAGCUUCCUGCUUCAGGCCCCAUUCCACAUAGGCCUGUGUCACUGCGCUGGAUGAGCUUGUGCCUCGGUAGCGAUGAUUACGUCCUUUAUUAAGUGCGGUCUUUUCACCCGAGACCAGGCCCCGCGGUGGCUGUGGUGUUUCAUUUUCUGCGUGCUAACGCUUGCUCCACAGUCCAGCCUCUCCCCGCUGCUCGGGGCUGUGCUUCGUGGCGGCGCGGGCGGCCGCAAGGGGUGUCCCCUGGUGCAGGGCGGCUGGCAAGCGACCCCCGCAGCGGGGUUCGCUGCCCAGAGCCGAGAUGGCCCCUUGGCGGGCUGCGCGGUGUCAGCCCCCAGGAGCUCUUGCGCCCUGGCCAUGUUGACUGCGGCUCUUCUCUCCUGCACACACUUCUUUUUUCUCUGAAUGUGUGUGAAAUGGAAAAUUUUAUUCAGGAAUGUUUGGUAGAUUUUGCGGAGGAAGUCAUCGAGGCCUGGAGUUUGCUUUUUGUUGUGGUUUGAGUCAGGGUGUCACUAUCUAGUCCAGGCUGGCCUCCAACUCACAGCGAUUCUCCUGCCUCAGCCUACCAGUGCUGGGAUGACAGACAUGGGCCUGUCGCACGCCUUGGAGUUUGCUUUGGAGGGAAGAUACUCAAUUGCUAAAACUGAGUAUUUUAUGAUUAUAAACUACUUGGGGCCUCUGGUUUUCUUGAGUCAAUACUGGUCAUUUCUUUUGCUAGGAUUCAUUUAGACUUUUCUUUUUCUUUUGUAGUACUGAGGAAUGACUGAAUUGAGUUUGGUGUUUAGCUACAUCUCCAGCCUGUUUUGUUUUUGAAAUUUUUCACAUGGUCUCACUAAGUUGCUAAGUUGUGUAGGCAGAAGUCACAUGAUCCUCCUGCCUCAGCUUCAUUCACUGCUGGCAUUGAAUGUGGAUGAAAGGCACAGUAUGUGGCUCCUCUAAUGCCCUGAAUUUAGCCUCUGCACGGCUCCAAGGUUAGUGCCAGCGUCACCCACAGCAGUUUCUUCUGGUCCCUGUGUGUGCUUCUCUGGAGGCCAUUAGUUCUGUGGUGGCUCCCACUCUGUCCUGUUGUCCUGCCCUGGCAGCAGUACUGUUUACUACCUGAAGUGGCAGUGACACGAUUCUGUCCCACAUUGGUACAACUCCUUCCAAGAAGAAAAGAAAGCACAAUUUCCUCAAGCUGAAGCAGACCUUUGCCAUGAGAACUGGACUUGAUUGAAGUAAAUUUAUUUUCCUUUUGUGAUGGUGCUAGAGAUGUAACCCAGGGCCUUGGCACUGACUCCAGCCCUAGCCCUUAUCUUUAUGUUGAGAUAGGGUCUAAAUAUCCCAGGCUGGGCUCAAACUUGCAGUCCUCCUGCCUCAGCUUGCCAAAGCCAUGUUAUUAUUUCUAAUUAAGGUUCCCAGCUGAAUGUGUGGCUCAGGUCUGUUACCCCAGCACUCAGGAGGCUGAAGUAGGAGGAUCUCGAGUUUGAGCCCAAAUGGGCAACUUAAUGACUUGGCGAGACCCUUGUCAAGAUGAAAAGGGAUGGGAAUGGAGCUCAGCGAAAGGCCCUCCUUCCUGCCCCAGACAUAAACACCCAAGCAUACCAGGCCUGGCAUUUCCUAGAGGCCUCUGGGGCAGCGCCAUGCAGGCAUAGCCUUCAUUCCUCACAGCCAUGCUGUGGCUCUCAGGCCCUGACUCAUCUGCUCUAGACAGUGAACCACUGCACUGCUGCCCGAGCCACUCCCAGGCCACCACAGCCGGUUUGCACCCUGGCCACCAUCCCUGGUGAGACUGAGCUUCCACAGGGUAGAGGUUUCCCCUGAGUUCACUGGCCCAAGUUGGCUGCCACUAGGGCCUGGAAAGUCCUGACAGUUUCCCCCUCUUCCCCAGGAGGGCCAAGGGAGCUUGGUGACAGCAGUUAACUGCCUAUCUAUGCUCUUCCCUGGCCCUGUCUGGGAGCCACAAGAGGUUUCCUGAUUGUGUUCCAGUGACAAAAGUGACAAGGACAGAGUCACUGUCUAGGGAGAUGUGGCCAGAGUGUGCAGCCAACCUAAAGGAUGCAGAAGAAGCAGAAGCAACAGAAAUGAUAUGAUUCUCUGGCUUGGGCCUUUCUGUGGUGUUCAUUAGUUUUUUAACAUUUAAAGUUGGUAAGAUUUCAAUUUCCAGCCCAACAUCCAAGUUCACAACUUAUUUUGUACUCUAUUUUUCUUUCUCCUCCUCCUCCUCUUCUUCUUCUUCUUUUGGUGCCAGGUAUCGAGCUCAUGACCUUGCACUUUCCAGGCAGGCACUUACACCUCUGAGCUAAAUCCCUAGCCCUCUUCUUUCUUUUUUUGAGACAGGGUUUCACCAUGUAACCCAGGCUGGCCUUGAACUUGUGUUCCUCCUGCCUCAGCCUCCUGAGUGAUGGGAUUAGAUGCAUCUUGCCACCCAGCUUAUAUUCUUUUCCUUAAAGAACAACCCCCUGUCCAUUGGCGGAGCACACCUGUCUCCCCAGAAUAGGAGGUGACAUGAGUUCAAGGCUAGCCUGGACCACACAAUGAGACCUCAUCUAAGAAAAUAAAAGAAGAAGAAGAAGAAAAAGAAGAAGAAGGAGGAGGAGGAGGAGGAGGAGAAGGAGAGCGAGGCCCCCAAGCAUGUAGGCCUUGACCCCCAAACCCUGCAGAGUCUGACUUUUCUGUAGAUGCAGUAACCUGCUUAGAUACAUGAAAUAAGUUAAAGAAGUUGAUCUGGAUCUCGUGAUCGAAGUGCAUCGUGGUUUUGUGCAUGUGUACACACACGUGUGUAUACUGGACAUUUCUAAAUGCUCAAAUAGGAAAGGAGAAAAAUAUUCAAUAAAAUAAUAGAACUUGGCAGUUACAUGCUAAUAAGUAAAGGUAAAACAUUUGUAAACUGCCAUAAAAAACCAAAUAGACUGCUAGCAGAAAUCUACAUCGUGGUCCUGUUUCCUAAACAUAGAUUUUCUCUGAAAGAAAGAAUUACACGUUUUCUUUCAAUGUCUAAAUGUUCUGAUUGCUAAGUCAUAGGAUAAGAAACAAGGAAAUGUAUGUUAUUAUUGGACCCACAACAAACCCUUCUGAAGCCCUCUGAGGAUCCCACUGUGUCACAGACCCAUGCCAAUAUUUACGGGACUGUAAUACUCAGCAGAGCCGGCAGGGGGUGCACACCUGUGCUUUGGGAGGCUGAGGCAGGUGGAUGAUUUCAACCCCAGUCAGGGCAAUCUAGGGACUUAGCCUCAAAAUAAAAACCGGAAAAUGGGCUACGGAAAGAGAUCAGCGUGAAGGCCCUAGGUUCAAUCCCUAACGCUGCGGGGCGGGUCUUUAAAAGAAACAGCAAGCCCAGGCCACGCUGGUGGGAACAGCAGCGCCUGGGAAUCCCAAGGUCACCCCGCCCUUCCGCCGCCAGCGGGCCAAUGGGUGGGCACGAACUUUGGGGGCGGGGUCAUGAGUUCCCACAGCUGGGAACUGCAGACGUUCAAGCCCGAACUGAGUGACUUUGGUUACACCUCCGAAUAACAUGAUCUCUUGUUUAAUGUGAUCCAAGGUUUUGCACCCCAUUUCGUAAGGCAUGGCACUGGUUGUUCUCCUCUUGGUGAAGCCAAGAAAACUCUCACCUCUGAGUCCCUUAUGGUGUACUCGAAUAAAUGACAUGUUUGUUGUCGCCUAAAGACACCUCGGUGUGGUCUCCCGGUUUUAUGGCAGCAAGAGUCAGAAUGCAAAGGUUAGAGAGACAUUUAUUAUUAAUUUCCUUCUUUUUUGUCUUUUUGAGACGGGGUCUCUCUAUGCAGUUCAGGCUGGCCUUGAGCUCACUUUGCAGCCCAGGUUGGUCUCCAGCUCGCUGCAGUACUCCUGCCUCAGCCUCCCGAAUGCUGGGAUUCACAGGUGUGAGCCACCAUGCGUAUACUUAUUAUUAAUUUUUAAUGUAUGAGAAACUUUAGUUAAGGGGCUUCCUAAGUUUCUGACGUUUAUGGAUCCGGUAAGUUAUCAUUUCUUACACUACACGGCUAAGGUUAUGGAGACGGAGAUGUCUGUUGAACUAAAUUGAGUCCCUAUCACCAUUACUUCAGGGUGUUCAGAUGUCGCAAGCCCGUGUUUGUGGUGCAGUGACCUGUUGGUCGCAGGGAGCUGUCACACGUCUUCGUUCUUUUUUUUCCUCUUCCCUUCUGGUCCUUCCUCUGUCUCUGUCCCUCUCCCUCGCUGCUUUGCACGUUCCCACAGUUGCAAGGACGCGGGCACCCAGAGUUCCUUCCGCGUGGAAGGUGGAGACUGGAGUGGUCAGGUUUGCCUAGGAAGAGCAUUUUUCUGGCAGUGCUGGGACGCACUCAGGGUACCGCACGCUAGGCAAUCUUCUAGCCAUGGGUUGCACUCCAGCCCUGUAAAAAAUCUUAUUUUUGGUUUUUUGAGACAGGGUCUCACUAUGCAGUCAAAGCAGGCCUUGAACUUGCUAUGUAGCCCAGGCUGCCCUCAAACUCGAGAUCCUCCUGCUGCAGCCUCCUCAGUGCUGGAAUUACGUGUGACACCACCAUGCCUGCUUGCUUAUGUAGUCAUUGAGGAGGGCCGAUACUGGAAACUGAACCUGGGGCCUUUGUACUGAGUUACAUCUCCAGCUCUCUUCUUUGUUUUUCUUUCUUUCUUUCUUUCUUUAAUUUUGAAACAAGGUCUCUCCCAGUCACUAAAAUUCCCAGGGUGGGCUCAAACUUGCUAUCCUCCUGCCUCAACGUCUCAGAGGGCUCGAAUCACAAGCAUACACCCCACCUACUGGCCUCCCAUGGUUCGGGGAAUGAAGGAGGGGCACUGGGAACAAGUCGCAUAGGCUCCUGGUGAUGCCACCAGCACUGUCCCACCUGUGUGUUCACACGCCCCUGAUCUAGGUAUGUUUCAGUAAAAAGGAAUAAAGUACUGGUCCAAGCUAGAAUUUGGAUAAAUCUCAAAAACACGGUCAAAGCCAGACCCAAGGAGUCAUGGUUGGCCAGGAAUUUAGCUCAAUUGCAUAAGCGGCUGCCUGGCAAGCUUGUGGUUGUGAGUUGGAUCCCCAGUACUGAAAAAAAAAAGUCAUGAUUGUACGAUUCCUUCCAUAUGAAAUAUGUAGAAAGAAGCCAGGUGUGUUGGUGCAUACCUGCCAUCCUUGCACUCUGGGGGGCUGAGACAGGAGGAUGGUAAGUUCAGCCCUGCCUGAACAAUUCAGCAAAACCUUGUCUCAAAACAAAAACUAAAACAGACUGGGGAUGUAGCUCAGUGUGAAGGCCCUGGCUUCAAUCAAAAGAAAAAAAAAAAAACGAAGGAAGGAAGGAAGGAAGGUAAAAGAGAAAAGAAAGCCCCAGAAAGGGUCGAUUCAUAGGCUUGGGAGGUAGCUGAGUGGUUUCCAGGGGUUGGGCAGCAUGUGCCAGCAGGAAACACCAAGUUGAGAGAUGCUGAGAAUGUUCUGGAACUACAUAGAGUUGAUGGCCACACAACAUUGUGACUUUACUGAAUACCACUGAAUUGUACACUUUAAGAAUUGAAGCCAUGCACAGUGGCAUAUGCCAGACAUCCCAGCACUUGAGAGGCUGAGGCAGGAGGAUUUCUGAGAGUUGCAGGCCAGCCUGGGUUACAUAGUGAGACCCUCUCUAAAAAAAAAAAAAAAAAAAAAAAAAGCAAGAUGUUUCAUUGCACGUUAUGUGCUUUUUACUGCACAAAGAGUGUGCACACUUUGCUAUCCGGGAAUGGGCUUGCACCACACCAUGGUGCCACAUGGCGUGACACCUCUACCCUGUGAAUUCCAGAGCACACAGUCUCAUGUCUGUGAAUAGCUCCAGUGAUGAUGCAUGAAAUAGCUUGUCAGGCCCACAAGAAAUGUCGGAUGGCCAGCAGGAUACUGUCACCCCACCACCAGGUCACACCUCUGCGUCCAGACUUAUCAUGGAGCACAGACACGGACACAUCACUGUCACAAAGCUACCUUUCCUGACCAGAACCCCCAGUGACAACUGGUGACGCCCUCUGCCUGUGCUGAGGGUUUCCUCCCAGACACAGGGAUGACAGGGAGCCUGUCAUUGCCCUUCUGCACAGCCUUUGCUGUGAGUCCUGGAGGCCUUCUAAGAAGACCAGUGCCCUUCUGUUCAGACAGGGCUUGUUCUGAGUGACACAAGGUGACAUGUGCAGACUCUCAGCACCUCCAGGCAGCGUGUCCUGCGGCACUGGCCUGAGCAGCCUGUGAACUGCUCAUUCUUUCGUUUGGUUUUGGUUUUGGUUCUUUGAGAGCAGGUCUUGUUGCAUAGUGCAGGCUAGCCUUGAACUCACUAUGUGGCCUGGAACUUGAGGUGACCUUCCUGCCUCAGCCUCCCGAGUGCUGAGAUGGCGAAUGUGCACCACCAUGCCCAACAUUCACCUUGACUUCUGUUUAUUCAAAUUAGAACACAUUUAUAUCUGACCAGAGUUUCAUAGCAGGUCUGGGGACACUUGGCUAAUGUGGUGGCACAUGAAAAGCAAGCACUGUGUCCCUCUUGCAUCCUUCCUGUGCCCCUAGGGACUGUGGGGCUCUGGGACAAAGUGGCCACCUGCAUCAGGCCACCCUGCAGCCCUAUUGCUUCCUCAGCUGUACCGCAGCCACUGGAGUGUGAGGUCACUUCCGAAGACAUCGCUUGUGAAGGGGAAGUGUGCAGCCGCAGCUGAGACCCAGCAGCCCUGGAACCAGACUGAGCUUGGGCUGGGAGGAAAUGGGUUGGAGCCACCCUGACGACCUAUGGGUGACAGCCUCACCAAAGGACAGGCAUCCCCUGGCCAUAACCUGUUCCAGAACAAUGAGAGUAAACAAAACAUCUUGUUGCACUGGAACAAAAGGCCAGACAGAUAAAGGAAACAGGCAAGGGGCAGAUAAGGAAAUAAACCCACACAGCAGCAGAUAAAGGAAGCAGGAGGCGGAUCCGGAAAUGUAUCCACAAUAGCAGAGGAGGCCACCACACUUGCUGCAUGGCUCCAGGAAGCAGCCCCCACGGCCUACUUCGGGGUUCCGCAAGGAUUCCUUCCCUCUAGGCGGAAAACAAUGAAAUGGAAUUGGAUGUUGUAUUUCUAUAUCCUGCCAAUAAAUUUAUUGUGUAUAUAUGGCAUACAUUUUUAUCUGAUUUCCACUUUGAAUUAAAAUUUUAAAAAUUAACUGGUCCACAGAUUGAGCCAAUGAUCUCAAUAGAGCUUUGUGGGCACUGUGGUGUGCUCCUGUAGUCCCUGCUACUGGGGAGGCUGAGACAGGAGGAUCCUUUGAGACCAUGAGUUCAAGGUCAGCCUGGGGCACAGUUUGAGACCUAGGCUUGUUAUAUAAGCAAACAAAAAUAAAAAUGAGACAAUGCAAACAUACUACCACCAUUCGGUUUGCACUUAAAAAUGGUUACGAUGGUAAAAUUUAUAUUAUGCAUAUUUUACCGUGGUUUGUUUUUAGUUUAAAAGAAAUGCCUGUCAGAUUUCUGGCCCCAGGUAGGAAGAGAAGGGAAACCGAAAUUCUCUCAGUUCUCUCAGAAGCAUAAAGACCAGAAGAGGCAUGAGGUCCCUCCCCCAUAACUUUUGUGAAAUCAGAAAGCCGAUCCCGCCCCAAACUCCACAUAAUGGGCUGGGGACUACAUGAAGCCACCAGUCCCUGCCCAGGCAUCAGGGCGCAUCAAUGGUCCAGGUCCCAGCACACAGGGCACGGCCUGACCCUGCUGCGGGCGGAUGCGAGAGGCGGCGCCAGCAGAGGGCCCCCGAGAGCCAGCAUCAGCGACGGAGGGAGAAGCUGGGACAAAAGCCAGCGCGGUGCGGCCUCGAUUUGGACGAACUGAAACGGUAAAAGAAAAGCGAGGCCUUUGGAGCCUCUCUCCGAGUUCCCCUACGCGCCAAGCCAGAGACUUGCCCGGCUGGGCGGGCUUGAAUCUGGGAAUUCCGGUCCCAAAUUCUGAUGUGUCUUGGGUUGACUGAAGGGAGCCCCUCCAGCCCCCUCCCACAUACUUUUGCUUUCCUCCUCGCUUUCUGACACAGAGAUACUCUGAUCUCACUCAGAACUUCUUUGUAAGUUGACAGAGUCUCGUCAUGUAGCCCAGGCUGGUUUUGAACUCACGGGGAUUCUCUUGCCUCAGCCUCCUGCGUGCGGGACAACUGGCCUGCACCCCUGUGUCCUGCUAGAGCUCCCUUUGUCAGGUAGUAGGGAUCCUCUGCACAUGCAUGUAUUAAAAAGUGACCUGGACUGCAGCUCCCACUUCCUGCUCACAAGGCCCUGCGCAUGGCCUGUGGUGCUGGUGUCUGCUGUUCGUAGUUGCUCAGCCUUGAGCACUCCACCUGGGGACGUCUGGCGUCUUGGGGGAGCGUCUUGGGUCACUGCUCCCCACACCCCAGCAAGGGUGCCCCGAGUCCCAGGAUAUUAAGAAAUGACUGCUUUGGACACCAUGGCACGCACCUUUCCAUGCUAGCACUCAGGGAGGUCAAAGCAGAAGACUCUCAAGUUUGAGCCCAGCCUGGGCAACUUAGUGACAUAGUUUCUCAAAAUAAAAACCUGCAAAGGGCUGGGGAUGCAGAGCACUGCGAAGAGUCUGAGUUCAAUCUCCAGCAGCACAAAAGAAGAAAAGGGGAAGAGGAAGAAGAUGAUGACAAGAGGCCAAGAGACAGACACACUGGUCCCUGGCACGGCCCAGCUUCAAAGCCAAGCCAAGUCCAGUCCGUGGUGGGCCUGUCUGAAGUUUGAUGGAAACAGCUCACACUUGACAGUCAUCCUGUGGUGACGACAAAGACAGCUCCACUGGGGAAAUUCUACGGUUCGAGCGAGCUAGGGCUUGUUUCCACAUCCAACUGUAAAUAGGGAUCAUGUCUGGCAUGAAGCAGUUUUUCAAGGAUGAGAACAAAAAUCAAUUUAAAAACUGGUGCAAUCUUAAGGGCUGCAUAUACGGCUCCAGCUUCGGGCACAGGGACGUCUGGCCUAAGGACCUGCGUUCUGUUUCCUCUCGGUGUGUGCUGUUUUCACUGUACCUCAUAUAAUCUAUGUGCUUCUCGGAAAAUAAGUAAAAAUAAACACUGGGCCUGCCUGGUAA